Molecule: ribosomal RNA, 681 nt
Filed under: uncultured nitrite-oxidizing bacterium
Lineage: Bacteria
Description: bacterial SSU rRNA
Rfam family: Bacterial small subunit ribosomal RNA
Source: RNAcentral
GGCUCAGAAUGAACGCUGGCGGCGCGCCUAAUACAUGCAAGUCGAGCGAGAAGACGUAGCAAUAUGUUUGUAAAGCGGCGAACGGGUGAGGAAUACAUGGGUAACCUACCCUCGAGUGGGGAAUAACUAGCCGAAAGGUUAGCUAAUACCGCAUACGACUCUCGAUCUUCGGAUCGGGAGGGAAAGCGAUACCGUGGGUAUCGCGCUCUUGGAUGGGCUCAUGUCCUAUCAGCUUGUUGGUGAGGUAAUGGCUCACCAAGGCUUCGACGGGUAGCUGGUCUGAGAGGACGAUCAGCCACACUGGCACUGCGACACGGGCCAGACUCCUACGGGAGGCAGCAGUAAGGAAUAUUGCGCAAUGGACGAAAGUCUGACGCAGCGACGCCGCGUGGGGGAUGAAGGUCUUCGGAUUGUAAACCCCUUUCGGGAGGGAAGAUGGAGUGGGUAACCACUUGGACGGUACCUCCAGAAGCAGCCACGGCUAACUUCGUGCCAGCAGCCGCGGUAAUACGAAGGUGGCAAGCGUUGUUCGGAUUCACUGGGCGUACAGGGUGUGUAGGCGGUUUGGUAAGCCUUCUGUUAAAGCUUCGGGCCCAACCCGGAAAGCGCAGAGGGUACUGCCAGGCUAGAGGGUGGGAGAGGAGCGCGGAAUUCCCGGUGUAGCGGUGAAAUGCGUAGAGA